Molecule: non-coding RNA, 206 nt
Organism: Pelobates cultripes (western spadefoot toad)
Lineage: Eukaryota; Metazoa; Chordata; Amphibia; Anura; Pelobatidae
Source: the annotation of a GenBank genome assembly
CUAGGUAUACGCCAAUCUAUUCGGCAAAAAAGGGGACAGAGUCGCAAGCUUCAGUGCAGUAUAUUCCUCAUGGCAGUGCAUUAAUUAUUGAUAGAGCUGUAGGACACUCUCUAUCAGGCUGAUGGUCAGCACUGAUGGGUUCAUACCCUGUGCAACUGGGGUGAGCCCCCUACAGCACUGCUGCUUCUACUCCUACCCCUCUCAAC